UACUACUGACCUUUCUGAAGAGCCAUC
Molecule: non-coding RNA, 27 nt
Filed under: Rattus norvegicus (Norway rat)
Lineage: Eukaryota; Metazoa; Chordata; Mammalia; Rodentia; Muridae
Source: RNAcentral